AUAUCAAUAAGCGGAGGAAAAGAAACCAACAGGGAUUGCCCUAGUAACGGCGAGUGAAGCGGCAACAGCUCAAAUUUGAAAUCUGGCUUCGGCCCGAGUUGUAAUUUGUAGAGGAUGCUUUUGGUGAGGUGCUUUCUGAGUUCCCUGGAACGGGACGCCACAGAGGGUGAGAGCCCCGUAUGUGGUGACACUGCUUAACGAGCUCCUUACCAAGAGUCGGGUUGUUUUGAAUUGCAGCCCUAAUCUAGGAGAUAGACUUCUUCUAAGGCUAAAUAUUAUGGGAGACCGAUAGCGCACAAGUA
RNAcentral lists this ribosomal RNA (302 nucleotides) under uncultured eukaryote. Its description in RNAcentral is "partial large subunit ribosomal RNA". It matches the Rfam family "Eukaryotic large subunit ribosomal RNA", at positions 40 to 350 of the family's 3401-position model. The record is from RNAcentral.